UAGGGAAUCUUCCACAAUGGGCGCAAGCCUGAUGGAGCAACACCGCGUGAGUGAAGAAGGGCUUCGGCUCGUAAAGCUCUGUUGUUAAAGAAGAACACGUAUGAGAGUAACUGUUCAUACGUUGACGGUAUCUAACCAGAAAGUCACGGCUAACUACGUACCAG
RNAcentral lists this ribosomal RNA (164 nucleotides) under uncultured bacterium. RNAcentral's name for it is "partial 16S ribosomal RNA". It matches the Rfam family "Bacterial small subunit ribosomal RNA", at positions 355 to 511 of the family's 1533-position model. The record is from RNAcentral.